UUUCCGUAGGUGAACCUGCGGAAGGAUCAUUACCGAGUUUUUAAUGAAGUUGUUUUGGUCUUUCUGGGCAUGUGAACGCAUCUCUCAAUCCAUCUUACGCUUGUGCACCUAUCGGUGAAGACUUGGAUCUAAGUUGGGUCACUACGGCGAUCUACAGUCUCCUCUUUAUACCAAAUAACAGUUUUUGAAAGUCUUUUUUGCUUGUGGCAAACUUAAAUAAAUACAACUUUCAGCAACGGAUCUCUUGGCUCUC
RNAcentral lists this unclassified non-coding RNA (253 nucleotides) under plant metagenome. RNAcentral's name for it is "partial contains small subunit ribosomal RNA, internal transcribed spacer 1, and 5.8S ribosomal RNA". The record is from RNAcentral.